AUGCAAAGAACACGUUCCAAGGGAGUGCACACAGACUCUGACGCAGUUCAACUCCGGCCAGUGUACUAUGGAGGAUGUAUUGGCUACGGCCAAAGACCCCUUGCUGAUAACCACUCUUAUUGCCGGAGGGUCCAUGUCUUUCUUGUACUAGCAGAGGUGCAGAGCAUUGAUGGUGCUCCUGAAGAAAUUAGGAUGCAGAAACUACAGGGCGUACUAAUUACCAUGAACAGGAAUACAAGAACCUUCAGAAAUUCAGUGCUUAUUGCCCUUCUGCGUGCCCAACUGCUGUUCAUGACGGACAAGCUUGUUGAUUCUUCCAAUGAGAUUGAAAGAGCAUUAGACAUCAGUGAUCCAAGUGACCCAGGAGAAGAGGACGUCCCAGUUGGAUCAACUGAAGGACUGGACCCUGAUACCCGGAUCAGUGCUGUCAAGACAGAAUUGCAUGAGUUCCUCACUUAUAUCUAUGCUGCUCUCGAAUCGAAAGAUGCUCCAUCCCCCUCCCAGGACGCAAGCAGGCCUAGGAGACAGAGUUCAAAAAGGAAUUAUGCUUUUAUGUACACGCGCAUUGGAAGAAAGUACCAGGAGCCGCCGCUCAAAUUCAUUGGUAUUGAGGCCCCGAAGACGGUUGCAGAGCCAGUAACAUAUCCAGUCCAUUAUGUUCGUGGUAUAUUGGUGCCGGUCGAGGAGUGGAAUUUGUACGGAGACUUCUGUGCCAAAAGAUCGACCUGCACGGAUGAGCAGAUGGCAUGUCAUCUGUGUUGCUUUGAGGGGGCAGCUACACUCAUUCUUCUCAAACGCGAUGAAACUCUACAUUACCAAAGCAAACACGCGUGGGUGGAUUCCAUCAAAUGCAAGGAAGCUGGGUGCCUCGUGCGUGUCAGAAACCAGGUGGCCCUCGAUCGUCACUGCUACUUUGCGCACCGUCUACCUCCUGAUUGGUGGACCAUCACUUGA
Molecule: ribosomal RNA, 954 nt
Filed under: Triticum aestivum (bread wheat)
Lineage: Eukaryota; Viridiplantae; Streptophyta; Magnoliopsida; Poales; Poaceae
Description: partial small subunit ribosomal RNA
Source: RNAcentral